Molecule: ribosomal RNA, 119 nt
Filed under: Pteropus alecto (black flying fox)
Lineage: Eukaryota; Metazoa; Chordata; Mammalia; Chiroptera; Pteropodidae
Source: RNAcentral
AUCUACAGCCAUGCUACCCUGAACAAGCCCGAUCCUGUCUGAUCUCAGAAGCUAAGCAGGGGCGGGCCUGGUUUGUACUUGGAUGGGAGACUAUGUAGGAAGACCAGGUGUUGUAGGUG